ACAGUGCCUGGAACAUAGCGGGAACCUAAUAAAUGUUUACUGACUGACUCAAUGACUAACUACAGGGGUUUGGGAAAGACCUCUUGCAGAAUGUGAGACUUUAUCCAAGACUGGAAGGAAGCUAAGGAAGCUAGAAGGUGGAGAAAACAAGGGAGAGAGUUUCAGGAAUUAAGGGCAACAUCUUCUAGGGAAAUCCACUUUCCCAGCUCCUUGGAAAAUGAAUUGGCCUGGGGAGAGGCUUGAAGCAGAGGACAUUGUUUCAAUAAUCAAGCACUCUUUCACCUUUGAGAUGACAAAAUAUCACCUUAUUGACCACUGAGCAGGAAGAGCAUGUGUAUGACUUGUUGGACUUUUGAAGCAAGAGUGACUCCAUGUACCUCGAACUCUUCCUUUGACUAGUGUAUGACAAGUAGUGCUCUCUUUCACUAUUAUAAUGAUGAUGAUAAUGAUGAUGAUGAUGAUGGUGAUGAUGAUGAUGAUGAUGGAGAAGGAAGAG
This is a non-coding RNA of Phascolarctos cinereus (koala), 496 nucleotides long. The record is from RefSeq and is a predicted model, not a curated record. Lineage: Eukaryota; Metazoa; Chordata; Mammalia; Diprotodontia; Phascolarctidae.